Molecule: ribosomal RNA, 1531 nt
Filed under: Klebsiella pneumoniae subsp. pneumoniae
Lineage: Bacteria; Pseudomonadati; Pseudomonadota; Gammaproteobacteria; Enterobacterales; Enterobacteriaceae
Description: bacterial SSU rRNA
Rfam family: Bacterial small subunit ribosomal RNA
Source: RNAcentral
AAAUUGAAGAGUUUGAUCAUGGCUCAGAUUGAACGCUGGCGGCAGGCCUAACACAUGCAAGUCGAGCGGUAGCACAGAGAGCUUGCUCUCGGGUGACGAGCGGCGGACGGGUGAGUAAUGUCUGGGAAACUGCCUGAUGGAGGGGAUAACUACUGGAAACGGUAGCUAAUACCGCAUAAUGUCGCAAGACCAAAGUGGGGACCUUCGGGCCUCAUGCCAUCAGAUGUGCCCAGAUGGGAUUAGCUAGUAGGUGGGGUAACGGCUCACCUAGGCGACGAUCCUAGCUGGUCUGAGAGGAUGACCAGCCACACUGGAACUGAGACACGGUCCAGACUCCUACGGGAGGCAGCAGUGGGGAAUAUUGCACAAUGGGCGCAAGCCUGAUGCAGCCAUGCCGCGUGUGUGAAGAAGGCCUUCGGGUUGUAAAGCACUUUCAGCGGGGAGGAAGGCGUUAAGGUUAAUAACCUUGGCGAUUGACGUUACCCGCAGAAGAAGCACCGGCUAACUCCGUGCCAGCAGCCGCGGUAAUACGGAGGUGCAAGCGUUAAUCGGAAUUACUGGGCGUAAAGCGCACGCAGGCGGUCUGUCAAGUCGGAUGUGAAAUCCCCGGGCUCAACCUGGGAACUGCAUUCGAAACUGGCAGGCUAGAGUCUUGUAGAGGGGGUAGAAUUCGGUGUAGCGGUGAAAUGCGUAGAGAUCUGGAGGAAUACCGGUGGCGAAGGCGGCCCCUGGACAAAGACUGACGCUCAGGUGCGAAAGCGUGGGGAGCAAACAGGAUUAGAUACCCUGGUAGUCCACGCCGUAAACGAUGUCGAUUUGGAGGUUGUGCCCUUGAGGCGUGGCUUCCGGAGCUAACGCGUUAAAUCGACCGCCUGGGAGUACGGCCGCAAGGUUAAAACUCAAAUGAAUUGACGGGGGCCCGCACAAGCGGUGGAGCAUGUGGUUUAAUUCGAUGCAACGCGAAGAACCUUACCUGGUCUUGACAUCCACAGAACUUUCCAGAGAUGGAUUGGUGCCUUCGGGAACUGUGAGACAGGUGCUGCAUGGCUGUCGUCAGCUCGUGUUGUGAAAUGUUGGGUUAAGUCCCGCAACGAGCGCAACCCUUAUCCUUUGUUGCCAGCGGUUCGGCCGGGAACUCAAAGGAGACUGCCAGUGAUAAACUGGAGGAAGGUGGGGAUGACGUCAAGUCAUCAUGGCCCUUACGACCAGGGCUACACACGUGCUACAAUGGCAUAUACAAAGAGAAGCGACCUCGCGAGAGCAAGCGGACCUCAUAAAGUAUGUCGUAGUCCGGAUUGGAGUCUGCAACUCGACUCCAUGAAGUCGGAAUCGCUAGUAAUCGUAGAUCAGAAUGCUACGGUGAAUACGUUCCCGGGCCUUGUACACACCGCCCGUCACACCAUGGGAGUGGGUUGCAAAAGAAGUAGGUAGCUUAACCUUCGGGAGGGCGCUUACCACUUUGUGAUUCAUGACUGGGGUGAAGUCGUAACAAGGUAACCGUAGGGGAACCUGCGGUUGGAUCACCUCCUUA